Molecule: long non-coding RNA, 4452 nt
Organism: Canis lupus familiaris (dog)
Lineage: Eukaryota; Metazoa; Chordata; Mammalia; Carnivora; Canidae
Exons: 4
Source: RefSeq, a predicted model, not a curated record
AAGCAUUCUAAAGGGGAAGGACCAUUUCAACAAAUGUUCCUCCAGACCUUCCUUAUUCUUCAUAAUGGAAUCCUGGGCUUUCCACAUGACAUAUUCUACUUAUCUGCUGGGAUUAGUAGGGCUGAUUACUCAGGUCUAGAAGGGAGAAUAGUAUCUGCUAGGGCUGGAUAGAGCAGAGUGGUGAAAGAGAUCAGAUGUGUUUAUGCAAAUGAACAAAAACAGACUUGGAAAACCAGUGGAAUGAUAAUAACCUCUGCCUUUGAAGUGCUCUUAUAGCAGUCUUACUGAACUUAUCAUGAAAGGAGAGACACUCUUCCACUUGAAUGUUCUUUCCUAUGGUCUAGUGCUGGUCAAUACACUGGACCUUGGCUUGCUGGGUGUAAUGGAGUUCCUUUGUGCAGACUGUCAUUUGUACAGACAUUUACCUGGCUACCAGAAUAUUUAUGUUACCCAAGGGCACAAGAAAAUAGACAUAUCAAAGAGGACAGGGCAUAAUUAACAUAAAAGACCAGAUACUUUGAGUGAGGAAGUGUGGAUCUGAGUUACUCAGUAGAAGGUGAACCAGUUGGAUUCUCUGUUGGAGGCAGGAUAGGUAAAGCAAAUAACCUUUGGCUACUUAGUUGAUAUGUUCAAUUUGAUCCAGCAGUUUAGGAAUGGCAAGUGGAGGAUAGAUGAAACUUAAAACUGGAGUACACGUACUUCUCAGAGAGGACAUCUUGUGGAUCCUUUGACAGAAAGGUUAAGCGUCUGCCUUUGGCUCAGGUUGUGAUCCCAGGGUCCUGGGAUCGAGUCCUGCAUGGGGUUCCCUGCUCCAUGGGGAGCCUGCUUCUCCCUCUGUCUCUACCUCUCUCUCUCCCCCCGUCUCUUUAAUGAAUAAAUAUUAAAAAAAAAAAAAAAGAAUAGCUAUUGAGAAUUUUAGCCAUACUUAGACUGUCAAAGUAAGGUGAGACAGAAGUACAGAAGUUCUGUCCUUGGCUAUUAAUUGAAUUUCACCAUUUGGUUGAUAGCACGGAUUACUCACCAUAGAUUAUUUAAAGUCUACAGCUCCUCACUUAACAGGAAGGUGUGAGAUGUCAGGAUGUUUCAGGAAACCAAGUGCACCAUCUACAAGAAGAAAAUUAUAGCUCCAAGGAAAGGUGAGCCCUGUCUUCAAGUCAUGAAGGAUUUUUGGAUGAAACAUCUGCAGAGGACCUGGAAGAUUCACUGGGUAAGCCGGAGGGACAGCUCUAGGAAUAACUGAAGUGGAUGAUGCCACCUUUCUUAGUGUACAGUAUGGGGAAAAUGGUACUGUUCUCCUUAUAUACCAUUCCUAAGGCCAUGCCUUGUGCAUGUACUCUUCAUUAGUUGACAUUCACUGGUUUGUGGGAUUUAAGAUGAAGAUGAGCCUUCAAAAAUUAGUUUAUGAUUGACUGUUAAAGAUUAGAAUUUGUUCUUAGUAGAGUCCAUAAAAAUAUGACCAAUUACACAUUUUUUCGUGAUUAAAAUAUUUUAAAAAGUGUAAUAACUUUUAGUUUAGAAAACAUUAAUAUAAUUUCAGUAAUUUGGCUUCCUUUGAACUAGCCUAGAAGAAUCUUUUGGUUAAAAAUUAUAAAUACUAAAAAUAUAAAGUUAAUAAGAAUGUUAUACACUUUGGGUUAAAUCACUAAAACAGUACAAAUAGAAUGUGUUUCUUUUAAGCCAGAUAAAAAGAAAUGUUAAAACUCAAUCCAACAUAAGACAGGAAGGAGAAAAAAGGGCAAAGAAAAAUGAAAAAUAUGGUAAAAGAAAACCUAUAAUAAGACAUAGAAAUAAGUAUAAUUACAAAUAUUUCAGAAUUGUAAUAAACAUAGAAUGAACCUUCUGUCAAAAGACAGCAAUGUUUAUGCUUAGUUUUUUAAUGCUUAAAUAGUUAUAUGUACUUAGAAGGUAUAUACUUAGAAAAUGAGACAUGAAGAAACAACAGGCAUAUAAAUAAAUGAAAAGAAAGCUGGUAUUGUAAUAUUAGUAGACAGUCUAUAUUGAGGGAAAACCAUUACUAAAGAUAAAGCGAGACUUAAUAUAAAAGUAGUAAUGCACCAACAGGUUAUAACACUUAGGAACUUGUAUGAUCUAACAACAUAUUCUCAAAAGGUAAAAGGGUAAAAUUGAAAAUAACAAGAAAUGUUCAAGUCUGCAAAAAAAUGAAAUCGCCAUUCAUGAGUUCAGAGAAACCAGGCAAUGAGAAAGUAAAAACUUACACUAGAUGUUAGUACUUCAGUCUUUACUGUUCACUACCAAGUGUAUCAUUGAUUACUGUUAAGUGUAGAAAAAAAUAAAAAUCUUAUCGCAGGUAUGGUUUUAUGACUCUAAAACUUUGACUUUUUCCAAAUAUGCCUCUGUGAAAAUAACGUGCUUUUUAAAUAGAAAUGCCAGCAAAUAUACCUAUUCAGUAAAUCUUCUCUCUUUGGAUUAUUAAAAGGGGAGAAUCCCAUGAUCAUUCUGCCAGAUUUUUUCAUUGUUCAGUAAUAAAGGUGAAGGGAGAAAACCAGUGGUUCUAUGUUCCUUGAUUGUGUUCUCUCAUCUUUUCCCAUCAACUCUGAAGUAUUUUUCUUUUUCUCCUUAGCUGAUGAGAAGUUGGGGCACAGAGAGAUUAAGUAAUUUGGCUAAGGUUAUAGCUUGUAAAAUAGAAGAGCCUAGACUCAGACUUGUCUUGAUGCCAGAGCUGCAGCACUAACACCACAAUCAAUCUCACUGAGUAUACUAAGGGCACUGUAUUAUGGGGUUAGAGGAAGCAAUAUAAUCAGAACCAAAGAUCUGAAGACCUAAAGUGUAAGUAAGAACCCUUAAUUGAAAUAGAGCAAUGAGUGUUUCAAAAUGAGGAAUUAUUCUUGAUCGCUAGAUUAUGAAAUAGAUGAGUGCCAAAACAGAAAUUUAGAAAAAAUACACCUUUAUCAUGAAAUAUGUUAUAUUUCUCAGUUGCUUUCAGUAGUUUCCUUUAUAUCCUAAGCCUACUUAUGUGUGCUGGUAUAAAUUGUUAAAAUUUUAAUAACUCUAUAGUCUCUCUUUCUUUUUCCUUAAGAUUACUUUCUUAUUUCAGAACACUGUUCCAAAUUCUUGAAUCCAACAAUUCUCCUCUAAAGGGAAGUAUACUAUCGUAAAUUUCUGAAUCUAAGUAUUUUGAAAAUACUAUUUUACUAAUAAUGUAUCCUGAUUUAAUGAUGAAUAUAUCAUUCCUGCAUAUAGUAAAAACCUGGAGCAAAGAUUAGAAGAUCGAGAACUUUCUGACUUCUACAAAGAGCAGAAGUGAAAGCAGAACUUCGUAUGAUUGCUAAGAUGUCAGAGGACCUUGCGCAUAGUUUAGAGCCACAUUUGAAAAUGAAACCAGAGAUGACUGCAUGAUAACUACACAAUCCUGACAGGUCAGAAAGUAGGUAUCAAGAUAACCGUAUAUAGAAAACUGAAGAAGGAUUCUAUCAAGUGGAAAGGCCAAAAAUGACAAUGUGUUUUGAAUGACACUUGAUUUCUGAGACUAAUCAUGAGAAUGCAGGAAAUAUUAAAAACUUUAUGAAAUACAUAAAGCAAAGAGACAAAAACACAUAUAGCAGGUCCAACAAAUAGCAAUAACUGUAGCUGGCUAACCAGAGUGGUACUCAACCUGGAAGGACAGAGCUGAUAGUAUAUUUUUGGGAAUUUAUGCACAGGAAUGAAAACACUGAAGAGAGUUGAAAGAAACAGCACCAAUUCUGACGAUUAUGCCCAUCAUUUGGAAAAUUUUGCUCCUUUCCCCAGAGUCUUUAGAGAUUUCAGAAUACAUUUUAGUCAAAGUAUAGAUCUAGGGGCCAGCAAUUUAUUAUUUUAACAAUAGGGCAUGUUGAAGCAUGAUAUCAAGUUGGAUUGGAUGUCCCUGUAAAGUCUUUUCUAGUCUUUUGAUUCUAUAUUUUAAUACUAUCUAAGCACUACUUCUGGAAAGAUAUAAAAAUUUUUUAUUCAUUCAUUAUUUUAGUUAAAUUCAAUUCAUUAUUUUAGUUAAAUAUAGCAUAAAUCCAUAAAACACUCCCUACACCUAGGAGUUAUGUAUAAAUUUGUUUGAAAAUAUUGUACUGCCAUUAUUGGCAGAAAUGUAAAAGCAGUUUUAGAAACGAAAUCAUACCUCUUUUUCCUAAGCUACCUUCUGAAAUCAGCUGACAGGAAAGGAAGUUAAGGUCUUAGUUUUCCAAGAUCCUUUAUCUUUUGACAUGCUACCAUCUUUCUAUCUUGAUUGUAUUAGAGAUUUUGGGAAAACAGAUUGCAAAGUUACUACUUUCUGAUUGGUACAUGUACUAUUAUAUUAUCCAUUUCACUAACACAGUGAAUUUCAGAUAUCUUCAGAUUGGCCUUUCAAAAUGGGAACUAGGUAAAUAAAAACUUUUCAAAUUUAUUUAUAGACGAUAUACUACAAAAAAGAAAAAAUAAAAUCGGCUUUACUUACUUUUUGUAAGAAUUUUUACCCUUUCA